GACGAACGCUGGCGGCGUGCUUAACACAUGCAAGUCGAACGGAAAGACCAUGCUCUUGUGGGGUGCUCGUGUGGCGCGGGGGUGAGAAACACGUGAGUAUCCUGCACUUGUCUUUGUGAUAAAUUCAGGGAACUGCGGCUCAUACAGGAUAGGAGCUCGUGAUGCAUGGUGGUGGUUGGAAAGUUUCGGCGGUUGGUGAUGGACUCGAGGCUUAUCAGCUUGUUAGUGGGGUAGUGGAUGACCAAGGCUAUGACGGGUAGCCGGCAUGAGAGCGUGACCAGGCACAUUGGGACUACGAGACGGCCCAGACUCCUACGGGAGGCAACAGUGGGGAAAAUUGCGCAACAGGCGCAAGCGUGAUGCAGCAACGCCCCGAGCGUGAUAACGGCCUACGGGUUGUGAACCACUUUCACCUGUGACAAAACCUUAGUGACGGUAAUGGGUAAGAAAGCACCGGCUAACUACGUG
RNAcentral lists this ribosomal RNA (468 nucleotides) under uncultured bacterium. Its description in RNAcentral is "partial 16S ribosomal RNA". It matches the Rfam family "Bacterial small subunit ribosomal RNA", at positions 28 to 507 of the family's 1533-position model. The record is from RNAcentral.